RNAcentral lists this transfer RNA (72 nucleotides) under Bos taurus (domestic cattle). It matches the Rfam family "tRNA". From Rfam's summary of the family: Transfer RNA (tRNA) molecules are approximately 80 nucleotides in length. Their secondary structure includes four short double-helical elements and three loops (D, anti-codon, and T loops). Further hydrogen bonds mediate the characteristic L-shaped molecular structure. tRNAs have two regions of fundamental functional importance: the anti-codon, which is responsible for specific mRNA codon recognition, and the 3' end, to which the tRNAs corresponding amino acid is attached (by aminoacyl-tRNA synthetases). tRNAs cope with the degeneracy of the genetic code in two manners: having more than one tRNA (with a specific anti-codon) for a particular amino acid; and 'wobble' base-pairing, i.e. permitting non-standard base-pairing at the 3rd anti-codon position. Lineage: Eukaryota; Metazoa; Chordata; Mammalia; Artiodactyla; Bovidae. RNAcentral also lists the same sequence under 3 other names. The record is from Rfam by way of RNAcentral.
UUCCUGGCAGUCUAGUGGUUAGGACUCAGUGUUUUCACUGCUGUGACCUGGGUUCAAUCCCUGGCGAGGAAA